UGAGGAAUAUUGGUCAAUGGGCGCGAGCCUGAACCAGCCAAGUCGCGUGAGGGAAGACGGUCCUAUGGAUUGUAAACCUCUUUUGUCGGGGAGCAAGAAAGGGUAUGCAUAACCUACUGAGAGUACCCGAAGAAAAAGCAUCGGCUAACUCCGUGCC
This 157-nucleotide ribosomal RNA is filed under the name uncultured bacterium. Its description in RNAcentral is "partial 16S ribosomal RNA". It matches the Rfam family "Bacterial small subunit ribosomal RNA", at positions 355 to 509 of the family's 1533-position model. The record is from RNAcentral.